CUGGGGACUGCUCGUGACAAGACUGAGGCUCGGCCCAGGGAAGGCCCUGCCAGGCUUCCCACAGCCCCAGUCACUGACCUUACCAUUUACAACAGCUGUAGCCCCAACAGGAGACUAGAAGGACUCUCAGAGGGGAUCAGUUUGAGGGGCCAAGGCCUCCAGGGCUCCCAUUCAUUUAGUGAGCUACUCACUGAGCAUGUAGCGUGCGCCGGGAGCCUAGGCUGCUCACCUGGUCUCCACAGCCAGCCUGUGAGGAUGCCAGCUCCUGAUGGGGAGGAGACUGCUGAGGGAACAGACAUGGGAGAAGCGUUUGUUACUACCCCUUGCCCUGCUGCUCUCCUUUACCCUCUGGGAAGUGGGUAUAGGUUCCUCAGGCCCUACCGUCCUCCUCUUGCUCAUCCCCUCACCUGGAGCUGGACUUGGCACCAACUCUCGCAGAGUCUGGUUGUGUUGUGCCCGGCCUCCGUCCACAGCUGCCCAGCUGCCCAGCUGCCCGCCAGUCUCCUCCCUCGAGCUCUGUCUCCAGAAGGCUGAAUGGGAUGGAAGGAGGGCAGGGUGUCAGGGGCGGGGGAGGAGGGAAGGGGGCGUGUGGAAAUGAAACUUUAAUAACAGAGCCCCUUUUGUUUCCGAGCAUAUGGGAUAUUUCAUACAUACUGAAGACAUUAGCCGUCUAUAUUUUUAAG
RNAcentral lists this long non-coding RNA (683 nucleotides) under Heterocephalus glaber (naked mole-rat). RNAcentral's name for it is "lncRNA (ENSHGLG00100045828.1)". The record is from RNAcentral. Lineage: Eukaryota; Metazoa; Chordata; Mammalia; Rodentia; Bathyergidae.